This 2958-nucleotide long non-coding RNA is filed under the name Homo sapiens (human). RNAcentral describes it as "HSALNT0055629". The record is from RNAcentral. Lineage: Eukaryota; Metazoa; Chordata; Mammalia; Primates; Hominidae.
CCAGAACAGCCUGUUCCUCCCCUCAGUGCUAUUAACAUAAAUAUGUGCAUGGGGCCUUCAGCUCCUGCUUCUCUCUGUGUACAGGAGGCUUAAGGGGCCUUGAAAGCCGGAGGCCAAAGAGAAAUCAGAGGAGAGGAAGUGUUGUUAGAGGCACAAGAAUGAAAAGGGGAAAAGGACAGGACGUUGCUAAGAGACAAUGUCAAGCUGGGCCAUGGGAUUAACAGCCAGUAUCAAAGCAAGUACUUAAUGAUGGAGAAAUUAAGGCAUUGAAAAGUCACUUGCCCCAGAUGACACAGCUAGUGGACAGUCGAGGAAAUGUGGGCUCUGGAGUUGAAUCACGAUCUAGAUUCAAAUCUUGGUCCUGCCAUUUGCUGGAGGGACAUGUUUAGGAGGGCAUCCCAGGAGAAGGCAGAGUCCAGGAGGCGGAUGUUGGGAAGCAAAUCCUGAACUCAUCAAGUCCCAUAGCCCCUUUGUCUAUGGACCUUCUGCCAGCAUCUUCUGUAAGAGUAAUGGUUCACCUAUCUCUUGCCCUGGGAGGCUGACACCUGUAGACUGCAUCUCACGCUCUCCUUGGCCAGCUAGCUUCAAGUUGAGUUCAGCUAGAAAACAACCCUGACAAGGAAAUGAGAAGUUUCUUCAAUCAACCCUUAUUUUUCUUUGCUGUGAGGACCAGGAAGGAACCAAUCUGUUUAAAAACUGUUGCCCGCUGGUGGCUCGUUGCCAGGUCUGAGAUAACACUGGUGGUCCCUCUGAGGGCUGAGGACGCAUUCCCCGGGUACUGCAAUCAGAGCAGACGCAUGUGCAGCUGUGGAUGGAGGGAGCUGACGUGUUCUCUCCGGGAGCAGAGGAGCAAAUGUCACGAGAAAAGCCCUUGAAAAUGGUUCUCAUCCCUUUCUCCAUCGCAGACAACCCAGAAUAAACUGUUCUGAAAUGUUGACGUUUAAUAAUAUUAAUAUUAGUAAUGGCUGGAAAGGGCUUCUGGUAAUGAGAUUCCAGGAUAAAUAGGUCACUGGGUUUUCAUUGCUUAUCAAUGAAGUUCCCAAAAAGAUCUUUUUUAAGGAAAUAGGCUCAUGUAAACUUUUUUUUUUUUAAAAAAAGGAAGGAAAUACAUUGUCUUUAUAAUAAGGCAAUGCAAGAGGGAUUUUUGUUGAUUUGUUUUGAGGAACUAUUUAUAAAAUGAUGAAGAUUUUAAAAAAUAAAAAAGGCUGAGCAUGGUGGCUUAUGAAUGUAAUCCCAGCACUUUGAGAGGCCAAGGCAGGAGAAUCGCUUGAGCCCAGAAGUUCAAGAUCAGGCUAGGCAACAUAGUGAGACCUUGUCUCUAAGAAAAAUGAAAAAAAAAAAAAAAAUUAGCCAGGCAUGGUGGCACACACCUGUGGUCCCAGCUACUCGGGAGACUGAGGUGGGAGAAUGGCUUGAGCCCAGGAAGUUGGGGCUGCAGUGAGCCUGUGAUUGCACCACUACACUCCAGCCUGGGUGACAGAGCAAGACCCUGUCUCAAAAAAAAUAAAAAUAAUUUAAAAAGAAAACAAAAUUGAGAAUCCUCUGCUGGUCCCUGUUAUGUCUUACUCAGAAAGUGACAUAGGUGAAUUUUAUCUUAGGAAAAUGUACUGCUACUGUGUUUCCAGCUGUAUCAGUGCAUUCUUACCUUCCCUAAAUUAAAAGCCCAUCACUGCUAGCUCCUAAGGACUCCUUUCAGUACCGCCUUUUCAAUGCCACUUGAGCAUCAUGGUUCUAACAGUUAAGUUUGGCCUGCUUUGCGCUGUAAAACUUGCCUGCAAAUAGCUUGGUGGUCUGCCCUGGAUUUGCCAGGAGCCUGUUUUUUGAAAGGGGCUUAAGGCACAAGGCUGCUGAGUUUGGAAUCAUUUUGCCAACCCUGGCAGCCUCUGUGACUCUAUGAUUUCUUUAAUGUUCCCGUCUUUCUCAUUUCCCUAAAUAAACUGAAGCCUUUACUGGAAGGUCAAGUAAAUGUUACUGUGAAUCACUACUAGUAGAGGCUCCAGAAAAGGGAAUCCUGGUUGCUCUCAAAUAAUCUUGAAAUUUCACUCUUUUAAUUAUUUUUAAGCCCCUGUUCUUAAAAAAAACUGUAGAAACAUAUGUAACAUAUAUAAACCAAAAUGUCUACUGAUUUUCAGGCUAACUGAAGACUAACUAGAAAUAAGUUUAUUGCCCCAAUGCUGUUGUUCAGAAGCUUUCUGAUAUGUUCAUUCACCUUCCUGCCUUAUUAAUCAGAGUAAACAUGAUGAACUGUAUAUUUCUAUGUAACAUCAUAUACCAUACUAAUUUUCACUUGCGUUCUUAAUAUAAUUUAUCUUUUUGGGAAUUGGGCAUUGAACUACAUUAAGUAGUUUCAGUAUCUCCCCUUGAAUAUGUUGAGGGAAUCUUUUGAAAUCAACUUUGUACUGUCAUUUCAUUUUCUUUUCGUAUACAGCUAAGAUUUAUUGAGUGCUUACUGUGAGCCAGACAAUGUGAUAAGUGUUUUAAGUGAAUGAUCUAUUUUAAUGCUUUUUAAAAAUCAACACUGACUUAGUAAUAGUGUUUUCCCUUUAUUAAAGAUGAAGAAACUGAGUUCAGAAAAGUGAACUGACUUACCAAGGUUACUCAACCAGUAAGUGUUGAAAUCAUAACUAAACUGUAGCUGUGUUUGACCACACAGCCUUGCUUACAACUCACAAAAGACUUGAGUUCCAUUCCCAGCUUUGAACUUUAUAGACCAAGUAAUUCUUGACCUCCCCAGGCAUCUUCAUCCUUAUUUAUAAAAUGAAGGUAAUAGUGCCUCCCUUCCAAAGUUGGGGUACUAAGACUUGUGAGAAAUUACUUCCAAACUCUAAAAUGCUAAAUACACGUAAUGUUAUUGCUUUUACAUGUUUAUUAGCUAGCGAUGUCUUUAGUUAAUUGCAUUAGCUAAAUUAACAUAUUAUGCUUAGAUUAUAGGUGGGAAGCCUCACUAUUAGCUAGCGA